This is a long non-coding RNA of Oncorhynchus keta (chum salmon), 598 nucleotides long. RefSeq lists it as uncharacterized. The record is from RefSeq and is a predicted model, not a curated record. The transcript is spliced from 3 exons. NCBI's taxonomy places the organism in Eukaryota, Metazoa, Chordata, Actinopteri, Salmoniformes, Salmonidae.
AGGUCCAUUCCUAACCCCUGAACAGCUUAAGAUUCAUCAAGGAGGUCCAUUCCUAACCCCUGAACGGUUUAAGAUUCAUCAAGGAGGUCCAUUCCUAACCCCUGAACGGUUUAAGAUUCAUCAAUGAGGUCCAUUCCUAACCCCUGAACGGUUUAAGAUUCAUCAAUGAGGUCCAUUCCUAACCCCUGAACGGUUUAAGAUUCAUCAAUGAGGUCCAUUCCUAACCCCUGAACGGUUUAAGAUUCAUCAAUGAGGUCCAUUCCUAACCCCUGAACGGUUUAAGAUUCAUCAAUGAGGUCCAUUCCUAACCCCUGAACGGUUUAAGAUUCAUCAAUGAGGUCCAUUCCUAACCCCUGAACGGUUUAAGAUUCAUCAAUGAGGUCCAUUCCUAACCCCUGAACGGUUUAAGAUUCAUCAAUGAGGUCCAUUCCUAACCCCUGAACGGUUUAAGAUUCAUCAAUGAGGUCCAUUCCUAACCCCUGAACGGUUUAAGAUUCAUCAAUGAGGUCCAUUCCUAACCCCUGAAUGGUUUAAGAUUCAUCAAGGUCCAUCGCUAAACACUGAACAGCUCCUUCACUCACUCACCGGGAUGAUCUGG